CCCCGAAGGCGGCCACUGCCCGUGCGCAGAGGCCUUCACGCUGGAGGCAAAAGGGUUUUCUCCUCCCUUUGCCUUCUGCUAUCAGGAAGUGAAAUCUCUCCUCCAAGCCCUCCACCGACUUCUGCUGGCCCCGCACCAGUCAGGUCGGGCUCUGGUGCCCGCUCCCGGGUGUUGGCAGCCGCUGGCCAAGGAGAAGGGCCCACCCGGUGGCGGGCAGGGAGGGCGACGCCCCGGAGCCGGUGAGUCCAGGCCCCGCCACCCCGAGCCCGGCCUCCCCAGCCCUUUAGACGGGAAGCUGUGGACCUGAUUUGACCUUUACCCUGGAGCUGCCCUGGAGCAAGCAAAAUGUUGCCGGUAGCGUCUAGAAGGAAGAACCCACCGGCCCUCACCUAGCCCCGCAGGGCAAAGCUGAGCAAAGGGCAAAGCCCGUGAGAUCCUUGGAACCUCGGCUACUAUUUUUCUCUUCCACCUAAAGGGUUGGUAAUCCAGUGCCCUUGUUUUUAAGCCCGGGAGUCUGCAGAUUGUUGGAUUUUGAAGAGGAGGAGGAUAUAAACAUCAAGGAUUAGAGGACAGGAGAGGCCGAAGGAAGAGCAGAGAGACUGCCAAUGCGUCUGCCGACGGCAGAGCUUUUGAUGAAGCAUUUUAAAGGUCUGGGCAGUUAAGAAGCGGUUUUUAAAGUCUGAAUGGAGAUGAAGUUGGUGGAGAACCCUGAAUCACUAGCCCCUGAUGGGAAGGUGGCAGCGUUUAUCAGCAGCAUCUAGGAGCCCAGGGCCAGCGCCUAUGACAUCACGUCCUCUCCUGUCUGCUAUCAGUUGGAUGCAACAGGAAAUUGACGAAGGUGCUAGGCAGUUUCCUUUCUGCUCUGACCCGACCAGCUUCCUCUGCAGCUUGCUCCCGGCUUAUUGUAAAGGAAAAUCAUGAAAUACCAGUCCGUUUCCUCCAGUUGGAUCAAGCCUAGGACAAGGAAGGAAAAACACAUUUCUAAGAUUAGUCAGUUUCCCUUUGCAGUUGUGGGGUUGGUUCCGGGCCUCCAGCUGACCCUUCUCUUCGACGUGUAUGGCUCGCAGCUCAGCUUUACAUCAUAGGCACGAUAAGGACUUGUGGCAAAGUGAGCAAACGCGUGUUAUGUAAUUCUUGGAGGAAAUCACGGGUUCAUUCAUGGGAAAGCUGCCCCAUGACGAACAGCUUAUCUGAUUAGCUUUCUAUUCUUCUCUGACUUCUGUCGAACUCGUUGGUUCCAGGAGGUCAAACAAAAUGCAGGUACUUCUAAUGGGUGUACCUGGCUGAGUUCUUUUGCUCUUUUCUCAGUCUCAGACUGAGACUCAGAAGGAGCCGUUUCAAUGGAGAAUCUUUAUGUAAAAUUGACAAACGAAUGGAGUCAGUUUAGUGAAAGAGCCAGGCUGGACUACUCCAAAGAGCAGGAAGUUAUGUCUGGUGUCCCAGAAGGAAAUGUGAAUUCUGUUGGGUAUGAGAGGGAGAUGCUAUUACCUGUUGGAAAACGUAACGGAGAGACUGGCAUCCAGGGAAUGCAACUGGCUUACUUUGUAGAAGUAAUUCAACUUGAAGAUGGGAAUUACCACUUAAAAUACCCUUUCAGGGGGCUCCUGGGGUGGGGGGGCUCAGGUCAUGAUCCCAGGGUCCUGGGAUGGAGCCCUGCAUUAGGCUCCCUGCUCCCUGUGGGGAGUCUACUUCCCCCUCUCCCUCUGCCUGCUGCUCCCUCUCCUCGUGCUCUUUUUCUCUCUCUCUCCCAAAUAAAUAAAUAAAAUCUUUAAAAAAUCCUUUCAGCAAACUUAACAAUGUGCAGGAACAAUGCAUCGGUGUUCACACUGAAUGGGACUAUAUUAAUUUAGCAGGUGGACGGUUCUUCAUCACAUUCCAUUUCCUGUUAUUUUAACGUACCUGUUUUUAAUUUCCCUUUGAAAAGUUUCCUCAUUUCUGUAUUCAUAGCUAUUAUUAAAAUAAUAUUCCCACCAAUUUCUCUUGUAUAGCUUUGUAUGAUCUCUAAUAUUUAUACUGUAAAAAUUCCUCUAGCUAAGACAUCAACUGUGCUGAAAUGGGUAAUGUGUUAAGAAUAUGACUAUCUGCAGCUUUGAGAUAUGAACAGUUGAUAAACAGACUGGAAGCAUAAAUAAGGUGUUGACAUCAAGGGUGCUCAUUAAUAAACAUCCUGCAUACUACAAACUCUGUGGCAAGAGCCUGCUUCCCAGUGAACUCAGCCAUCAACAGUGACUCUGUUAAAAGCAUCAUUGACCAACUAGAGUGGUGCCAAUGACAAUAAUAGCCCCUUGGGUUGUUGAGAAAGUUAAGUAAAACACAUUGAAGACUGCCUGGCUGAUAACAGUUAAGUAAAACACAUUGAAGACUAUCCUGGCUGAUAACAGGCAAGUGUUUGCUGUUAUUAUUACUACUCUACUCAUCAGGUAGGUGAAGGAUUAUUCUGAACAAAAGGGUCUGACCUGUUUGAAUGGCUCUAGAGGGAGUUACUAGGACCAGAGGGUAAGAACCAUAGCAAGCUUGACUUUGGCUCAAAGAUUAGAUCUGACAGGGAAGUGUUUGGCUCCUUGUCACCCGAGCUUGGGACUCCUUGAUAGGGAUGUUAAGGGUUG
Molecule: long non-coding RNA, 2606 nt
Organism: Canis lupus familiaris (dog)
Lineage: Eukaryota; Metazoa; Chordata; Mammalia; Carnivora; Canidae
Exons: 4
Source: RefSeq, a predicted model, not a curated record